RNAcentral lists this ribosomal RNA (319 nucleotides) under uncultured eukaryote. Its description in RNAcentral is "partial 18S ribosomal RNA". It matches the Rfam family "Eukaryotic small subunit ribosomal RNA", at positions 1470 to 1796 of the family's 1831-position model. The record is from RNAcentral.
CCCUUAGAUGUUCUGGGCAGCACGCGCGCUACAAUGGUCUUCGCAAACGGAUGCAUUCUCGAAGGAGAAUGCCAAUCUUGGAAUCUAUGCCUUGGUCGGGACAGUUGCUUGCAAUUUUUCGACUCGAACCAGGAAUUCCUUGUAAUCGUGAUUCAUCACAUCACGAUGAAUACGUCCCCGCCCUUUGUACACACCGCCCGUCGCUCCUACCGAUCGAAGAGUUAGGUGAAUUGUUUUGAUCGAUAAGAUUUGACUAUGGUCAACUCUCGUUGUGAAAUUCUGUGAAUCUGACUGUUUAGAGGAAGGAAAAGUCGUAACA